This is a long non-coding RNA of Trifolium pratense (red clover), 490 nucleotides long. RefSeq lists it as uncharacterized. Lineage: Eukaryota; Viridiplantae; Streptophyta; Magnoliopsida; Fabales; Fabaceae. The record is from RefSeq and is a predicted model, not a curated record. The transcript is spliced from 2 exons.
CAACACUUUAAUCUAAUUAAGAGACAUUUAUUAAAUAUACUCUUAUUUAAGAAGUGUUCCUUACAAAUUCAUAAGCACUAAAAUCUAUUUAAUUGAUAUAAUGAGAGGAUGAACUUUAUAAAUCAUAAAGUGAUAAAAUUAUGUUAUAUAUAUAUAUAUGCAAAAAGGGAAAAUAUAUAUGGAUGCAAUUGUCAAGUUUGUUAAUAUUAUCAUUAUCUUUCUUUCCUUAUUCAAUGUUGCAACGAACGCUGCAGGUAAUCCAGGUAAAAAAUGUUUUGGUACAUCUGAUUGUCCAAGAACUAUGUGCCCAACUUUUAUGAUUGUGCACUGUAUUAGAAAAAAAUGUCUAUGUGUUUUAAUGUAAUUAGAAGAUUAAGUUCCCACAUGAUUCCGUAGUGCCAGAUCCAAGAGCUUACACAUAGACACUACAAUAAUAUUCUAUGAGUUUUUUUUUUUUGACGAAAAUAAUAUUCUAUGAGUUGUUAUUUAA